UUCAGGACUCGCCAAUGUUUUUCAAUCCGUCUGUCUAAUAUGGUCUGCGUAGACGUUUAUAUAUGUAGGAGGGUGCGGGAAUUCGUUUUUCCGGGCUCGUGCACGAAAUCAGCCAUCGUUCACACCGGCACAAGCGCCAGUGACUGUGAAAGAGGGACGCAGGAGACCGAAAGCUGAUGUCUCAGAGGAGAUGGGAUCCGAGUCACUGAAUUCCCUUCUCUUCCCCAGAAACAGGGAAAAGCAAUCAUUGCACUAUAAAAACUAUUUUCAGCCUUCCUUUAACCAUUCCAAAAUAAAAGCCUCCCCCCUGCACCCUCACUCUUUGACCAGUUGCUUUUUUCUACUUCAUCGAAACCCCUAACGGCUAACCCCUUUUUGUUUUCUGUUACAGAAAGAAGACGCUUACGUAAUGAAUAAAAAGGAUCGCCUAGAGAAUGACAGCUGCAACAAAUACGAGGAAGACCUGACACUAACACGUAACGCAAAUAAUACGACGGUAAAUAAUUUUUGAUAGAGUUCAGUACCUGAUUUAGAUGGCAGAAGCGAAGAGUGCGGCUGAGGAAGGUUCGUGUGCGACCGGAAUCGAGUGCGUCUGAGAGCUGACUGCUUCCUCGCUCGCCGUUCGAAAAGACUUUUUAGUUUGGGAGGCAAGCGGGUGGAGAAAGGGGAGGAUAUGUUGCUGUUUGGCCCUCACUGACUGGUAAAGCUUCCUCUCCCGUCUGCGCCGUUAGAAGUGAGGAAAAACACGAUCUUCUUGUGCGCGCCACCAAUCACCGAACAGACGGGCCAUUUCCGCCCAACGUUUGGCCACGUUCUUUUAUUUAUUUUAUUCCUUUUUUUCGUUUCCCUUUUGUUUGUUUUUUGAAAUUUUAACCACCAUUUCAAUUCUGAACGUAAACUGUCAAAUAAUC
Molecule: long non-coding RNA, 911 nt
Organism: Daphnia magna
Lineage: Eukaryota; Metazoa; Arthropoda; Branchiopoda; Diplostraca; Daphniidae
Exons: 2
Source: RefSeq, a predicted model, not a curated record